AGAGGGCCAGAUGCAGUGGCUCAUGCCUGUAAUCCCAGCACUUUGGGAGGCCGAGGUGGGCGGAUCACCUGAGGUCAGCCUGACCAACACGGUGAAGCCCUGUCUCUACUAAUAAUACAAAAAUUAGCUGGGCGUGGUGGCCUGCACCUGUAAUCCCAGCUACUUGGGAGGCUGAGGCGGGAGAAUCGCCAGAACCUGGGAGGCAGAGGUUGCGGUGAGUUGAGAUCACCCCAUUCCACCCCAGCCUGGGCGACAAGAGCGAAACUCCAUCUCCGAAAAAAGAAACCGCAGAGUUCAUGUGAGCGCAGCAUGCGAUGACUGGUCUGGGAAGAACUGGCCAUUCCUUCGGCCUCCUGGCCCCUUGGUGCUGUCUGGCCCAGUGUCCACAGUUCCAGGGCUGUAGUGACAGCUUUUUAUCAUUACAGGUGUAGGUGGAGCUUUUGCUGGAAUCCCAGGAGUUGGACCCUUUGGGGGACCGCAACCUGGAGUCCCACUGGGGUAUCCCAUCAAGGCCCCCAAGCUGCCUGGUGGCUAUGGACUGCCCUACACCACAGGGAAACUGCCCUAUGG
Molecule: small RNA, 570 nt
Filed under: Pan troglodytes (chimpanzee)
Lineage: Eukaryota; Metazoa; Chordata; Mammalia; Primates; Hominidae
Description: retained intron
Source: RNAcentral